CGCAAACGAGGAGCAAACCCCUUAUCCCUUUUGUUGCCAGCGGUCCGGCCGGGAACUCAAAGGAGANGCCCGUGAUAAAACUGGAGGAAGGUGGGGAUGACGCCAAGUCAUCAUGGCCCUUACGAGUAGGGCUACACACGUGCUACAAUGGCGCAUACAAAGAGAAGCGACCUCGCGAGAGCAAGCGGACCUCAUAAAGUGCGUCGUAGUCCGGAUUGGAGUCUGCAACUCGACUCCAUGAAGUCGGAAUCGCUAGUAAUCGUGGAUCAGAAUGCCACGGUGAAUACGUUCCCGGGCCUUGUACACACCGCCCGUCACAGCCAUGGGAGUGGGUUGCUAACAAGAAAGUAGGUUAGCUUAACCUUCGGU
RNAcentral lists this ribosomal RNA (369 nucleotides) under Enterobacter hormaechei. RNAcentral's name for it is "bacterial SSU rRNA". It matches the Rfam family "Bacterial small subunit ribosomal RNA", at positions 1087 to 1447 of the family's 1533-position model. The record is from RNAcentral. Lineage: Bacteria; Pseudomonadati; Pseudomonadota; Gammaproteobacteria; Enterobacterales; Enterobacteriaceae.